CGAGCAGGAGGACGACCUCGUCGUUGCUGACCAGCGCGACGUAGUAGCCGCCGGCAGGCUCCGGGCUGCUGCCCGCCGCCGCGAACUUGGCCGAGCGCAGGUCCCAGAACAUGUCGACGCGGUCGCCGCCGCCCACGUCGAGCGCCUUGCCGCCCUUCUUGCUCCAGAACGGCCACGGCUUCAGCUCCACCCUGUGGGUGACCGGCCCGUCGCCGUCGCCCGGCCGUUCGAUGGAGACGGUGAAGGACUGGUUGAUGAGGCUCUUGCUCCAGACGGCGGUGACGUGGCGCGCGGCGCCGUUGAUCUUGGCGAGGAACACCGACACCGUGGAGCACUGCGCCGCCGCGGCGCCCGCCGUCCUGCCGGUGGCGGAGUCGUCGAAGGACGUCGCGGCAUUGCUGCACCCGACGCGCUCCUCCAUCUUCCUGUACGGCUCGCAGGAUUUGGAUCGCUUGUGCAUGAUCAAAAAUCAAUCUCCCGAAUCGCUACGGAUUAUUAGGAAUAAGAUCAACCGCGUUAGCAUGCAGCGUUCGCCCCACGUUCGUCUUCGCGUUCGUCAAGCAUGCUGGGAGAUUGGAUCAAGAACUAGGCUCCUCCAUAUGCUCGAUCCUCAUGGGCUGCAUGCGUGGGCACGAACGGC
Molecule: unclassified non-coding RNA, 640 nt
Filed under: Zea mays
Lineage: Eukaryota; Viridiplantae; Streptophyta; Magnoliopsida; Poales; Poaceae
Description: misc RNA Zm00001eb205870
Source: RNAcentral